AACCAGCAGCAGCCAAACGAACCCUAAAGCCCUCUUCAAUCAAGACAUAACCCAGAUGCUUUUGGCCAUUUUUGGCUAAAUCUCAGAGGCCUUUCGCGUACUUAGUCGAUGCCUCAUCUUAUCCGGGCAAAAUGGUUAUUGUAUUUGUCUCCAACGGUAACCUACGCCCCAUUUCCAAAAAGAGUUUUCCCAUUCUUGCCCAAGGACAUGCAACAAUUGUCAAAGCCAUAAGUGGUCGAGCAUUUUCGGAGUCUGUCGUGUUCGAGUGGAUAUCGAAACCCCCGCGCCUUACUUCGCUGCACCCGAAGAAGGUUUAUCAUAUUAAUUGUGGAAGUUCUUGGCUGGACUGAGCUCUUGAACGACGUAAGGUACAGAUGCUCAUGUUGGUAACCCGCCAGCUUAGGAGUCCUAUUCAGCUAUCUUGGAGAGCUCCCUUGUUCCGGAGCCUAGAUUUUGGUACAGAAUCUCUUGUGGUGUAUAUAUGUUUUUGUCCAGGGGUACGACGGGGCCCUGUCCCGUCAUAUGUUACUGUUGAUACUCUUAGAGGUAUGUAGACAUGUAUGUGGGUUGUGUACAGGUUUGAUCAGCUGUGUCCAUAUGGUUAUUGCGGAUGUUCUGUCGUGGUAGCAGCCUUGCCGUCUUGCAUAUGUUAUCGUUUCGUAGUGGCAGCCUUGUCGGUUUGCGUAGUAUAAUGAUAUAUAUAUACAGUGGCAGCCUCGUCGGCUUGUGGAUGUUAUUUCGAUAUGAUUGAUUGAGGACCUAUAGUAUCAGUCCGGUUAUGUUGACAGGUGCAUGUGGGUGUCCAGCUCGGGCACUAGUCAUGGCUCACGGGGCUGGGUCGUGACAAAAGUGGUAUCAGAGCAGUUCAUCCUCAGAGUGUCUACAGAUCGUGUCUAGUAGAGUCUUGUUUAUCGGCGUGUUGUGCACCACAUCUACAAACAGGAAGCUACAGGACAUUUAGGAUGUUACUUUUCUUUCAUAUCUAAGAUCGUGCGAUAGAGC
Long non-coding RNA from Lycium barbarum (goji berry), 1002 nucleotides. RefSeq lists it as uncharacterized. The record is from RefSeq and is a predicted model, not a curated record. The transcript has 4 exons. Lineage: Eukaryota; Viridiplantae; Streptophyta; Magnoliopsida; Solanales; Solanaceae.